GUAAGGAAUAUUCCACAAUGGGCGCAAGCCUGAUGGAGCAACGCCGCGUGCAUGAUGAAGCCCUUCGGGGUGUAAAAUGCUUUUCCGAGGGAUGAUACCAGACAGUACCUCGGGAAUAAGUCUCGGCUAACUACGUGCCAGCAGCCGCGGUAAUACGUAGGAGACGAGCGUUGUCCGGAAUUACUGGGCGUAAAGCGCGUGUAGGCGGACAAGCAAGUCUGCUGUGAAAGCUCCUGGCUUAACCGGGAGUGGGCGGUGGAAACUGCUUAUCUGGAGGACGGUAGAGGCUGGUGGAAUUCCCGGUGUAGUGGUGAAAUGCGUAGAGAUCGGGAGGAACACCUGUGGCGAAGGCGGCCAGCUGGGCCGGACCUGACGCUGAGACGCGAAGGCGUGGGGAGCGAAC
RNAcentral lists this ribosomal RNA (403 nucleotides) under uncultured bacterium. RNAcentral describes it as "bacterial SSU rRNA". It matches the Rfam family "Bacterial small subunit ribosomal RNA", at positions 354 to 773 of the family's 1533-position model. The record is from RNAcentral.